This is a non-coding RNA of Paramuricea clavata, 312 nucleotides long. The record is from the annotation of a GenBank genome assembly. NCBI's taxonomy places the organism in Eukaryota, Metazoa, Cnidaria, Anthozoa, Malacalcyonacea, Plexauridae.
CCUGAUUGUUUAUCGGUUUACGAGAGCGUUAUUUGGUCUGACUUCAUCGCCCUUCCUCCUCGCUGGGGUCCUGAACCACCACCUCGACCAAUGGAAAGAGAAUUACCCCGAAGUUGUUAAAGAAAUUGAUGAUAAUCUGUAUGUGGAUGACCUUAUGAUGGGCGGCGCGACAGUUCCAGAAACCAGAGAGAAGAAAACCAUAGCUACAGAAGUUUUCGAAGAUGCUGCAUUUACAAUUCACAAGUGGCACUCAAAUGAAUCAGAGUUGGAAGGCGACGAAGCUGACCCACGUGACGAGAAUUGUGAGGGAAC